RNAcentral lists this ribosomal RNA (482 nucleotides) under uncultured bacterium. RNAcentral's name for it is "partial 16S ribosomal RNA". It matches the Rfam family "Bacterial small subunit ribosomal RNA", at positions 29 to 523 of the family's 1533-position model. The record is from RNAcentral.
AAUGAACGUUGGCGGCGUGGAUUAGGCAUGCAAGUCGUGCGCGAAUCGUAGCAAUACGAGGAGAGCGGCGAAAGGGAGAGGAUAGCAUAGAUACCUACCCUCGGACCUGGGAUAGCUAUGGGAAACUAUAGGUAAUACCAGAUAAUGUCUCCGGACCAAAGGUGUGAUUCCGUCCGGGGAGGGGUCUAUGUCCUAUUAGCUUGUUGGUGAGGUAACGGCUCACCAAGGCAAAGAUGGGUACGAGGCGUGAGAGCGUGUCCUCGCUCACUGGGACUGAGACACUGCCCAGACACCUACGGGUGGCUGCAGUCGAGAAUCUUCGGCAAUGGGCGCAAGCCUGACCGAGCGACGCCGCGUGUGGGAUGAAGGCCUUCGGGUUGUAAACCACUGUCAGUGCGGAGGAAAUAUAGUGGGGUUCUCCCCAUUAUUUGACCUAUGCGCAGAGGAAGGACGGGCUAAGUUCGUGCCAGCAGCCGCCGUAA